UUUGAUGGUACCAUCAGAAGAGUUUUGCCGCUUUCAACACAUAUUCCCAGUGGACUUCCAGAAAGGGAUUCCUGUGCCCUAUAACGGGAGUGAAGAAGAAAAUGGCCACUUACAUCGAACAACACCUAUUGAAGAUUUAUGAUGCCUGCGAGUCAACCAAAAUCUGCACAAAAUCCAGCUCCACGAGCACCAACAACAACUAUGGAAUAAAUACUUGAAUAAAGGAAUUGCUUUAA
This is a long non-coding RNA of Daphnia magna, 236 nucleotides long. RefSeq lists it as uncharacterized. NCBI's taxonomy places the organism in Eukaryota, Metazoa, Arthropoda, Branchiopoda, Diplostraca, Daphniidae. The transcript is spliced from 2 exons. The record is from RefSeq and is a predicted model, not a curated record.